AAUCACCUGGGACUGCUCCUUUACUCUCUGCAGCUGGCUGAGGAGGCUGGCAUAUUGCAACUUCUCCAUCACACCUGAGGAUGCAGGAAAACUCCCCUAGUCUCAAAGUAAAAGAAAUGUUUUAGAACAAAACCACGGAAAUAGACCUCUCCCCAGGGCUGGAAGUCAGGGCUUGUGAUAACGUAUUUACAUCUUUUGAAAUAACGGAAUCUAGUACAAAUACAUGUUUCCUUCUACCAUUUUACAGAAUUGUCUUAUACCUCUUUUUCUAGUAGGUAAAUAUACAUAAAAGGGAGUCCUUUGGAGAACUGUUGAGACGGAUUUGCUGAUUGUCUUGCAUUAGGGAGCUAGGCUGAGGGGAAAAGAGGGGACUAAAUUUGAAUCUGCACUUCACUCACCCAGGAGUGAUCCCACAGAGCUGUGUCUGCCUAGAAGGGGCGACUUUAUCUAUAUCACCAAAGCAUCAUAAAAGAAAUGAAUGGCAGUAUCAUCAGAACAACCACCCAUAUGUUUUCCCAAAGCAAGACAUUGUGAGGUGUUAAGAGAUAUAUGCAGAGUCUCGCUCUGUCUCGCCCAGGCUGGAGUGCAGUGGUGUCAUCUUGGUUCACUGUGGCCUCUCCCUCCCGGGUUCAAGUGAUUCU
Molecule: long non-coding RNA, 641 nt
Filed under: Homo sapiens (human)
Lineage: Eukaryota; Metazoa; Chordata; Mammalia; Primates; Hominidae
Description: HSALNT0064255
Source: RNAcentral